ACGCUCGACACCUACGGAGGCAGCAGUGGGGAAUAUUGCACAAUGGGGGAAACCCUGAUGCAGCGACGCCGCGUGAGCGAAGAAGUAUUUCGGUAUGUAAAGCUCUAUCAGCAGGGAAGAAACUGACGGUACCUGACUAAGAAGCACCGGCUAAAUACGUGCAGCAGCCGCGGUAAUCUGAGCGGGCUGGCAAGGC
Molecule: ribosomal RNA, 196 nt
Filed under: uncultured bacterium
Lineage: Bacteria
Description: partial 16S ribosomal RNA
Rfam family: Bacterial small subunit ribosomal RNA
Source: RNAcentral